Long non-coding RNA from Dreissena polymorpha, 912 nucleotides. RefSeq lists it as uncharacterized. NCBI's taxonomy places the organism in Eukaryota, Metazoa, Mollusca, Bivalvia, Myida, Dreissenidae. The record is from RefSeq and is a predicted model, not a curated record. The transcript has 5 exons.
GUAGCUGGCGGUACAACGUGAACUGAUGUGCAAUUGUGAGCCGCAUGGUUCUCAUUCUAAGCUACAGCUAUGGGGCGUAUUUUGAAAAGUGUUUUAUGUAAAAAGCCUUUGUUGCGUUAGAUUCGUGGACGCGUGCGGAGUUCAGUGUUUUAUGAUUUUAAGUGUUUAUUUCGUGUGUGAUUUUUGAAAAACUGGAAUGUUUAAAUCGCCUUGGAUUUGUUGUCAAACGAUUCAAGGAAAUAGGAUAAAGUUGAAGUUUUCACUUCUAAUCACUGACGUACAACCUGUCCCAUUACUUCGAGAGACCCGGCAUCACCGUGUUCGUACCCGUGUCCUCCUCCAUCGAUGUCUUCCUUACCGAGGCCGCCUGGUUUGGUUACAACACAAGUGAUCGUGCAACCGUGGAGAGCAUACUUAUAUAUCACAUAGCGGAAUCGGUAACGAGUGUAGCUGAUAUGUCCUCACAGAAAUCCGCCAUGACUCCUCUUGAAGGACAGAGGCGGCUGUUCUUCGGAAGUUACAACUACGGAGACUCGUUUGUACACACCGUAAACGGGGCUUGCAUUCUGACCGCUGACAUCCUUGCUAGCAACGGAAUAGUUCACCUGGUGGACAGGUUCCUGAUACCAAUACAGUCCAAAAAGACGGUCGCAGAUUAUCUGGAGCAUCCGGAUAUAACGAGGUUUUCAUUUCAAUCAAUUAGGUUGGCAUCUAUCAUUGACUUGCAACUUAAGUCUGCCACGAAUUCUUCAACGAAUCGCUUCACCGUGUUUGCUCCGAAUGACUCCGACAUCAUCAUAAUGCCGGACUUUGGCAAGGAUAUUUUGUUUAAUGAUACGGCUUUGCUGAAAUCGGUACGAACUCUUUUGCGUCUGGUUUAUUCGCACCGUUUUGUCACGUUCGAUUGGACAU